RNAcentral lists this ribosomal RNA (497 nucleotides) under uncultured bacterium. Its description in RNAcentral is "partial 16S ribosomal RNA". It matches the Rfam family "Bacterial small subunit ribosomal RNA", at positions 28 to 507 of the family's 1533-position model. The record is from RNAcentral.
GAUGAACGCUGGCGGCGUGCCUAAUACAUGCAAGUCGAGCGAACAGACGAGGAGCUUGCUCCUCUGACGUUAGCGGCGGACGGGUGAGUAACACGUGGAUAACCUACCUAUAAGACUGGGAUAACUUCGGGAAACCGGAGCUAAUACCGGAUAACAUCUUGAACCGCAUGGUUCAACAGUGAAAGACGGUCUUUCUGUCACUUAUAGAUGGAUCCGCGCUGGAUUAGCUAGUUGGUAAGGUACCGGCUUACCAAGGCAACGAUGCGUAGCCGACCUGAGAGGGUGGUCGGCCACACGGGAGGUGAGACACGGUCCAGACUCCUACGGGAAGCCGCAGUAGAGAAUCUUACGCAAUGGGGGAGAGCCUGACAGAGCAAAGCGGCGGGAGUGAAGAUGGUGUUCGGAUCGUAAAACUCUGUUAGUAGGGAAAAACAAAUGUGUAAGUGACUGUGCACGUCUUGACGGUACCUAAUAAGAAAGCCACGGCUAACUACGUG